CGGAGGUAAUAUCUGCAUGGCUUUUGAACGAUAAUGACUGACAACCGAGGAACACCAAGGGGCUGAAAAGUUACACCGUGGUGGCUUUAUUUCUGCUGGACAGGUCACCUGCAGUCUUCAAACACCCUGUGCUUCUCAUCAGUACACUGACCGGACCAUGCUGGCUGCCCUGGAUUACAACCACCGUGUCCACAGACCAGCCAGGAGAAAAGCUGAUGACACAGUUCAGUACAGCAAGGUGUACAACAAAAAGUCCAGGAAGUGGAGCUUGUACUCAUUGAAGGUGGAGAAGGACUACAGUUACAUUGCAGACCUCCACAGUGACAUCCUCCUCCAGUUGUCUACUACUGAGGAGCUGCCUAGAAGCAGAACC
Long non-coding RNA from Micropterus dolomieu (smallmouth bass), 373 nucleotides. RefSeq lists it as uncharacterized. The record is from RefSeq and is a predicted model, not a curated record. The transcript has 3 exons. Lineage: Eukaryota; Metazoa; Chordata; Actinopteri; Centrarchiformes; Centrarchidae.